GGGGUAACAUAGACACACCCCUGGAGCUCUGAGAGUGUUUAUAGAGCUGUGAGUUUAACACUUCAUGACUGAGAGCAGAACAGAACACAAUCUUCAUCAUCACACAAGACACAACAACAACAAUGAACAACAUCAUCAUCCUCAUCUGGACUCUAACACUGUUUGCUCAAGAGUGUAGAGGACAGUAUACUGUAACUCAGAGUCCAUCAGUAAUAACAGCAGCUCAAGGAAAAGACGUCAGAAUUAACUGUAAAACCAGCAGUUCAGUGUAUGUUGGUAGUUACUUACACUGGUACUUGCAGAAACCUGGAGAAGCUCCUAAACUAAUCAUAUAUUAUGCAACAAGCCGUUACACUGAAACUCCUUCUAGAUUCAGUGGCAGUGGAUCUGGCAGUGAUUUCACUCUGACCAUCAGUGGAGUCCAGACUGAAGAUACAGGAGAUUAUUACUGUAUGAGUGCACACUGUCCCAGUGGCUGGGUGUUCACACAGUGAU
This is a non-coding RNA of Carassius carassius (crucian carp), 495 nucleotides long. The record is from the annotation of a RefSeq genome assembly. Lineage: Eukaryota; Metazoa; Chordata; Actinopteri; Cypriniformes; Cyprinidae.